RNAcentral lists this ribosomal RNA (253 nucleotides) under uncultured bacterium. Its description in RNAcentral is "partial 16S ribosomal RNA". It matches the Rfam family "Bacterial small subunit ribosomal RNA", at positions 524 to 776 of the family's 1533-position model. The record is from RNAcentral.
UACGGAGGGGGCUAGCGUUGUUCGGAAUUACUGGGCGUAAAGCGCACGUAGGCGGCUUUGUAAGUUAGAGGUGAAAGCCCAGGGCUUAACCCUGGAAUUGCCUUUAAGACUGCAUCGCUAGAAUCGUGGAGAGGUGAGUGGAAUUCCGAGUGUAAAGGUGAAAUUCGUAGAUAUUCGGAAGAACACCAGUGGCGAAGGCGACUCACUGGACACGUAUUGACGCUGAGGUGCGAAAGCGUGGGGAGCAAACAGG